GGUUCAGUACCACUGUGUUGCACUGUGGGCGAGUGUCUUCAGCUACAGCCUCAGGCCGACCAAAGCCUUGUGAAUGGAUUUGGUAGGCGGAAACUGAAAGAA
Long non-coding RNA from Octopus sinensis (East Asian common octopus), 102 nucleotides. RefSeq lists it as uncharacterized. The record is from RefSeq and is a predicted model, not a curated record. NCBI's taxonomy places the organism in Eukaryota, Metazoa, Mollusca, Cephalopoda, Octopoda, Octopodidae. The transcript is spliced from 3 exons.